UGGGCGCGUGGGGAGCAACAACCCUGGUCCAGGCAAGCUAGAGCUGCGCCUGGCCGGAAGGCACACGUGGAGACACUCCUGGGCAGAGUCACAAUGCAGAGCAUCUCGCCUUGUGGGCAGGAGUUCCCAGCCCCAGAGGCCUUUUCUCUCCAGGCAGCUCAGCGGCAGCCCGCUCCGCAGCUUCUAGAGGCGGCAGCCCCGAGCAUGAAGUGCAAGCCGAACCAGACGCGGACCUACGACCCGGAGGGCUUCAAGAAACGGGCGGCGUGCCUGUGCUUCCGCAGCGAGCUUGAGGAUGAGGUGCUGCUGGUGAGCAGCAGCCGGUACCCGGACCGCUGGAUCGUGCCGGGCGGGGGCUUGGAGCCCGAGGAGGAGCCGGGCGGCGCGGCCGUGCGAGAGGUGUACGAGGAGGCGGGAGUCAAAGGGAAGUUGGGUCGUCUGCUGGGCGUCUUCGAGCAGAACCAAGAUCGCAAGCACAGAACGUACGUGUAUGUGCUGACUGUCACCGAGCUGCUGGAGGAUUGGGAAGAUUCGGUCAGCAUCGGGAGGAAGCGAGAAUGGUUCAAGAUCGAAGAUGCCAUCAAGGUCCUCCAGUGCCACAAGCCCGUGCACGCCGAGUACCUGGAGAAGCUGAAGCUGGGCGGCUCCCCCACCAAUGGCAACUCCGCGGCCCCGCUGCCGCCGCUGCCGCCGCUGCCGGAGAGCGCGCCCUAGUGAAUGGCAUAGAUGUUGUUCAGAUUUACUUUGAAAGAAUCAAGUAUGUGAACCCAAUGAUGAAUGGAAAUUUGAAGCACAGGCAAGAUUGGGCAAGAGCAACCAUGACUAUAACUCCUCCUGGAAUAAUUGAAUGCAUCUGAAGAAUAGACCUCAGCUACUUGUGGUCAAGCCAGUUAAAUAUGAAAAAACAUAGGAAAGAGUCCACUAAUAACAAGAUAAAGCUAAACAGAAUCAUACCAGUGUCCAGAAUGUUAAUCUUGUUCUUUGUUUCAAGUGGAGGCCAUUCCUUUCCGUAGUUAGCAGAUGUUGGGAGGUUUCUGAGAGUUCUUUGAUGAAGAUGUUUCUUGGCUAGCAGUUAAGCUGUGGAUGGUGGCAAUGGUCUGUUCAAUUGGCUAGAUGCCCUGUGGACUGAAGCCGAGAGAGAUUAAUCAUCUCCCUCCCCACUCUUGACCAGGGUCAAGUGUUCUCUUCCUAUCAUCCAGAGUUGUUGUUUUCUUUCUAUAGCCACAUGAUCAGUAUGACUAGCUUCCACAGCAAUUACUUCACCGUUUUUUCAAGCCUCUUUACCCAAACCAUAUCUCUAACCUCAAUUCUGUGCAGUUCAGAAGUGUCUUCUUUAUACAUCCUGUAUAGGCCUAGAAUAUUUUCUAUGCCCUGAUAUAUGGGCCAUGCUCAGACCAUCUUAGGGGUUGUCACCUCAUAUAUAUCAUCAACAUUAUCAGCAAUAUCUAUAAUUCAGCAAUCAAAUACGGCAAGCAUAGCCAAACAACCAAAGAAACAUCAAGUUUAGUCUCCCAACCCCACAUCUUCUUGCUUUGUGCAUGUUCUAGUUGCCUUAUUUCCCAGGAAUGGGUAUGGAAGUGAAAAAUACAGUGAGAAGAAUGAAUCAUGGUUUGGAUUUCCUUACAGUCAUCCUGGGUUUCCUUCCCUACUCCUCAACCUCAUCAUUAAACAUUUUAUUUAAAUAGGUAUUCUUCAGCGGAAUUACUGUAUUUAAGCUCUUUAGGCCUGUCUUAAGGGGGUGCCUUAAGACAGCUGAGCCUUGGCUGUCAAGUUCUUUCUCUUUUUUGGGGGGGGUACCUGGAAUCAAACUCGGGACCUUGAGCUUACAAGGCAGGCGGUGGAACCACUGAGCUAAAUCCCAGCCCUUCUCAUUUUUUCCUUUAAGGGUCAUUCUGAGUUGGGAUCUUAGCUCAGUGCUACAGCUUUUGCCUAGCAUGCAGGAGGCCUUGGUUUCCAUCUCCAGUACCAGAAAAAAGUCAGUUCUGUCAUUCAGUGGCAUCAGCUGAUUGAGGACUAUAUGGAAAAUAAAAUGUCCUAUGAAUGUCUAAAAGGCUAUGUACUAUUUUUCACCUUUUACUAUAAAAUCAGUAUCAAUGUUCAGUCAAAAUAUCGAAAAUCCAAAUAUAUAACA
Molecule: RNA transcript, 2131 nt
Organism: Heterocephalus glaber (naked mole-rat)
Lineage: Eukaryota; Metazoa; Chordata; Mammalia; Rodentia; Bathyergidae
Gene name: diphosphoinositol polyphosphate phosphohydrolase 3-alpha
Source: RefSeq, a predicted model, not a curated record